RNAcentral lists this long non-coding RNA (1898 nucleotides) under Sinocyclocheilus grahami. Its description in RNAcentral is "lncRNA (ENSSGRG00000031727.1)". Lineage: Eukaryota; Metazoa; Chordata; Actinopteri; Cypriniformes; Cyprinidae. The record is from RNAcentral.
CAACUUGUUUGUCCCUCGAGAGACAUGCAUCUGCUUCUAAAGACACACUUGGCUGAAAACCUGCAAGACCUUACAGAACUUUAGUGAUUUUACCACACCUUUUUUCACACUUAUCUACUUUUUCACUUGUUCACACCCUCUCUGAUGAGAAAUAAGCAGUGGCAGAAAGAAAAUAUGUAUAUAUUUUUUUUUAAUCAUGUCCUUUCAUCCCUGAAGGAUAUUGUUUUGUUUUGCAAUUCUGGCAACGAAAAAAAAAGUGAGAUGGCGAGUAUACUAGCAAGGAGAGGUGUGUGAGCAAGUGUGUGUUUGUGUGUAUGUGUGUGCGAGGUAGCCUAGAGUUCAUUUAUGAAGUAUGCAGACGCAGCGGUAUAACCUUUUAAUUGCAGGGAUGAGAUUCUGAGGAAAUUCAAGGUGCACACAAGAUGCUAUUUAUUAGGGUAAGUUUCGACUCAAAAAGGGAAAGUCUGUCUCAGAGAGGGCAACGGCCUCAGCCGAACCCUUUUAUUUUGCCAUCUGUAGACCUUUAAACCUUAGUGUUAUCAAUGUACCCCACUUUCUCGAAAGAAAUUAAUACUCUACUGAUGGCCUCUGUGGCACUAUUGGACUGUCAGAGCAAAUCAUUGAAUUUGUUGACUACAAAACUUUCCCAGAACUUCCCUGAAGCUCCACCCACUGCAAGUUGUAACGUUGCAAAGGAAUAGUCCCAGCCCACUUUUUCUUCUCAACAACACUUUUUCCAUUCAAAGAGUAAAAACCGUCUGGUCUUGCCACACUUUUAUGGUUAACCAUAUGUUUCAUGUGUAUUACAACAAUAUCUGAAUGUUAUCCCUUAUCAUUUAUUGUACAUUUGUUGUUUUUUUGUUUGUUUAAAAAUUAUUUUGUACUUUUUUAUGCAUAUAAUCGAAAUUAUGGAAAUGUCAUUGAGCCAUUUUUGUCCACUUUUAAUUUGCUGAUUUCCCUCUUGCUUUCUGUUUGCGUUAACACUUAUAUGGAAGAAUUCUUCAAUCGUGUUGCGUGCCAUGAGAAUCACAGCAGCCAGCAUAUCCUGCCUCCAGAAGAAAGUAAGAACAGAGAGUAUGGUGUGAUAAUAACAGCAACUAUAUCCAACCCUCAAACUCAUGCACCCAAAGCCUUUUCCUUUCAUCAUCUGAAAUGGAAACACUGUGUGCCUUAAUUUCUUUCUGCCCAAAGGAUAUUCCACUUAUUUCCCUCCCGUCUUCACUCUCUUUGGACGAAAUGAUCGUGGCUUGCAGAGGAGGAAAGGAAUUGAAAUGGCAGCUAUAAUUGAAUCUGAGAAGCAAUGUUUUUAACAACUGGUUGUUGUUUGCAUGGACGGAAUCGAUUAUGCUAGUUUGCUAAGUUUUGUACAUAGCCUCACAGUUCAAGAGUUACAGGACCCUUUCUGUCCGUGUCGGAUUGCUUCGGCUGUGGGGAUGAAGACGACAACUCCCAUGAUCCCACAUGAUUCCGCGUCAUCAAUCUACGCCGUUGUGUCUUUGUUUGUUUUGAACACGCGCCCUCUAGUGGCAAAAAAUGACAUAUUGUGCCUUUAAGUGCCUUCAAACAGCUUUCGUUUUCUGAGAUUAGCGACUUUUUCCCCUUUGAUUUCAUUUGAACUGAAAGCUAAAAAAAAGGAGUUGUAAUGUAAAUAAGAGCGUUCUGUAUUUUAUUGCCAGAUGUCUGCUGGCUAAGACAGGAGGUUAGUAAUCGCUAGAAGAUUUGUUUGAUUGAUGGUUGGUUAAUGGAUGAUCAGUUGACUGAUUGAUCCGUUUAUCACUUGACAGAUUGAUUACGCACAAAUAAUAGCGAUGGAUUUGGUUUGCGCUGAUGUUAGUUUUCACGCUGGAUGGAUGGAUGGAUGGAUAGAUAGAUAGAUGUGUUAACCACAUGAGGGCGCU